CUGGCUCAGGAUGAACGCUGGCGGCGUGCUUAACACAUGCAAGUCGAACGGAGCUUAGAAGGAAGCUUGCUUCAUUAAGCUUAGUGGCGGACGGGUGAGUAACGCGUGAGCAACCUGCCCUCGAGUGGGGAAUAACAUCGAGAAAUCGGUGCUAAUACCGCAUAAUGUCGAGAGACCGCAUGAUCUUUCGACCAAAGGAUUUAUUCGCUUGAGGAUGGGCUCGCGUCCGAUUAGCUAGUUGGUGAGGUAACGGCCCACCAAGGCUUCGAUCGGUAGCCGAACUGAGAGGUUGAUCGGCCACAUUGGGACUGAGACACGGCCCAGACUCCUACGGGAGGCAGCAGUGGGGAAUAUUGGGCAAUGGGCGAAAGCCUGACCCAGCAACGCCGCGUGAAGGAUGAAGGUCUUCGGAUUGUAAACUUCUUUGAUUGGGGAAGAAUAAAAUGACCUACCCAAAGAACAAGCCACGGCUAACUACGUGCCAGCAGCCGC
Molecule: ribosomal RNA, 492 nt
Filed under: uncultured bacterium
Lineage: Bacteria
Description: bacterial SSU rRNA
Rfam family: Bacterial small subunit ribosomal RNA
Source: RNAcentral